RNAcentral lists this ribosomal RNA (2424 nucleotides) under Pseudomonas aeruginosa. RNAcentral describes it as "bacterial LSU rRNA". It matches the Rfam family "Bacterial large subunit ribosomal RNA", at positions 3 to 2465 of the family's 2925-position model. The record is from RNAcentral. Lineage: Bacteria; Pseudomonadati; Pseudomonadota; Gammaproteobacteria; Pseudomonadales; Pseudomonadaceae.
UCAAGUGAAGAAGCGCAUACGGUGGAUGCCUUGGCAGUCAGAGGCGAUGAAAGACGUGGUAGCCUGCGAAAAGCUUCGGGGAGUCGGCAAACAGACUUUGAUCCGGAGAUCUCUGAAUGGGGGAACCCACCUAGGAUAACCUAGGUAUCUUGUACUGAAUCCAUAGGUGCAAGAGGCGAACCAGGGGAACUGAAACAUCUAAGUACCCUGAGGAAAAGAAAUCAACCGAGAUUCCCUUAGUAGUGGCGAGCGAACGGGGAUUAGCCCUUAAGCUUCAUUGAUUUUAGCGGAACGCUCUGGAAAGUGCGGCCAUAGUGGGUGAUAGCCCCGUACGCGAAAGGAUCUUUGAAGUGAAAUCGAGUAGGACGGAGCACGAGAAACUUUGUCUGAACAUGGGGGGACCAUCCUCCAAGGCUAAAUACUACUGACUGACCGAUAGUGAACCAGUACCGUGAGGGAAAGGCGAAAAGAACCCCGGAGAGGGGAGUGAAAUAGAACCUGAAACCGUAUGCGUACAAGCAGUGGGAGCCUACUUGUUAGGUGACUGCGUACCUUUUGUAUAAUGGGUCAGCGACUUAUAUUCAGUGGCAAGCUUAACCGUAUAGGGUAGGCGUAGCGAAAGCGAGUCUUAAUAGGGCGUUUAGUCGCUGGGUAUAGACCCGAAACCGGGCGAUCUAUCCAUGAGCAGGUUGAAGGUUAGGUAACACUGACUGGAGGACCGAACCCACUCCCGUUGAAAAGGUAGGGGAUGACUUGUGGAUCGGAGUGAAAGGCUAAUCAAGCUCGGAGAUAGCUGGUUCUCCUCGAAAGCUAUUUAGGUAGCGCCUCAUGUAUCACUCUGGGGGGUAGAGCACUGUUUCGGCUAGGGGGUCAUCCCGACUUACCAAACCGAUGCAAACUCCGAAUACCCAGAAGUGCCGAGCAUGGGAGACACACGGCGGGUGCUAACGUCCGUCGUGAAAAGGGAAACAACCCAGACCGCCAGCUAAGGUCCCAAAGUUGUGGUUAAGUGGUAAACGAUGUGGGAAGGCUUAGACAGCUAGGAGGUUGGCUUAGAAGCAGCCAUCCUUUAAAGAAAGCGUAAUAGCUCACUAGUCGAGUCGGCCUGCGCGGAAGAUGUAACGGGGCUCAAACCACACACCGAAGCUGCGGGUGUCACGUAAGUGACGCGGUAGAGGAGCGUUCUGUAAGCCUGUGAAGGUGAGUUGAGAAGCUUGCUGGAGGUAUCAGAAGUGCGAAUGCUGACAUGAGUAACGACAAUGGGUGUGAAAAACACCCACGCCGAAAGACCAAGGGUUCCUGCGCAACGUUAAUCGACGCAGGGUUAGUCGGUUCCUAAGGCGAGGCUGAAAAGCGUAGUCGAUGGGAAACAGGUUAAUAUUCCUGUACUUCUGGUUACUGCGAUGGAGGGACGGAGAAGGCUAGGCCAGCUUGGCGUUGGUUGUCCAAGUUUAAGGUGGUAGGCUGAAAUCUUAGGUAAAUCCGGGGUUUCAAGGCCGAGAGCUGAUGACGAGUCGUCUUUUAGAUGACGAAGUGGUUGAUGCCAUGCUUCCAAGAAAAGCUUCUAAGCUUCAGGUAACCAGGAACCGUACCCCAAACCGACACAGGUGGUCGGGUAGAGAAUACCAAGGCGCUUGAGAGAACUCGGGUGAAGGAACUAGGCAAAAUGGCACCGUAACUUCGGGAGAAGGUGCGCCGGCUAGGGUGAAGGAUUUACUCCGUAAGCUCUGGCUGGUCGAAGAUACCAGGCCGCUGCGACUGUUUAUUAAAAACACAGCACUCUGCAAACACGAAAGUGGACGUAUAGGGUGUGACGCCUGCCCGGUGCCGGAAGGUUAAUUGAUGGGGUUAGCGCAAGCGAAGCUCUUGAUCGAAGCCCCGGUAAACGGCGGCCGUAACUAUAACGGUCCUAAGGUAGCGAAAUUCCUUGUCGGGUAAGUUCCGACCUGCACGAAUGGCGUAACGAUGGCGGCGCUGUCUCCACCCGAGACUCAGUGAAAUUGAAAUCGCUGUGAAGAUGCAGUGUAUCCGCGGCUAGACGGAAAGACCCCGUGAACCUUUACUGUAGCUUUGCACUGGACUUUGAGCCUGCUUGUGUAGGAUAGGUGGGAGGCUUUGAAGCGUGGACGCCAGUUCGCGUGGAGCCAUCCUUGAAAUACCACCCUGGCAUGCUUGAGGUUCUAACUCUGGUCCGUGAUCCGGAUCGAGGACAGUGUAUGGUGGGCAGUUUGACUGGGGCGGUCUCCUCCUAAAGAGUAACGGAGGAGUACGAAGGUGCGCUCAGACCGGUCGGAAAUCGGUCGCAGAGUAUAAAGGCAAAAGCGCGCUUGACUGCGAGACAGACACGUCGAGCAGGUACGAAAGUAGGUCUUAGUGAUCCGGUGGUUCUGUAUGGAAGGGCCAUCGCUCAACGGAUAAAAGGUA